GCUUUACUGUAGCCUGUAAUUGAAUCCGGGCUGAGCUUGCGCAGGAUAGGUGGGAGGCGUUGAAGUUGCCCUUGUGGGGGUAAUGGAGCCAACGGUGAGAUACCACUCUGGCGCAGCUAGGAUUCUAACUUGGAGCCGUUAGCCGGCACAAGAACCGUUGCAGGUGGGCAGUUUGACUGGGGCGGUCGCCUCCUAAAUGGUAACGGAGGCGCGCAAAGGUUCCCUCAGCACGCUUGGAAACCGUGCAUAGAGUGUAAAGGCAUAAAGGGAGCUUGACUGCAAGAGUCACAACUCAAGCAGGGACGAAAGUCGGCCUUAGUGAUCCGACGGCACUGCGUGGAAGGGCCGUCGCUCAACGGAUAAAAGUUACUCUAGGGAAAACAGGCUGAA
RNAcentral lists this ribosomal RNA (390 nucleotides) under uncultured Pleurocapsales cyanobacterium. Its description in RNAcentral is "bacterial LSU rRNA". It matches the Rfam family "Bacterial large subunit ribosomal RNA", at positions 2098 to 2486 of the family's 2925-position model. Lineage: Bacteria; Bacillati; Cyanobacteriota; Cyanophyceae; Pleurocapsales. The record is from RNAcentral.